Molecule: ribosomal RNA, 474 nt
Filed under: uncultured bacterium
Lineage: Bacteria
Description: SSU rRNA
Rfam family: Bacterial small subunit ribosomal RNA
Source: RNAcentral
AGGACGAACGCUGGCGGCGUGCUUAACACAUGCAAGUCGAGCGGAAAGGCCCUUCGGGGUACUCGAGCGGCGAACGGGUGAGUAACACGUGAGCAACCUGCCCUUAGCUCCGGGAUAGCUCCGGGAAACCGGAAUUAAUACCGGAUACAACCACGGCCGACAUCUGCUGUGGUGGAAAGGAUUCCGGCUAAGGAUGGGCUCGCGGCCUAUCAGCUAGUUGGUGGAGUAACGGCCCACCAAGGCGACGACGGGUAGCCGGCCUGAGAGGGCGACCGGCCACACUGGGACUGAGACACGGCCCAGACUCCUACGGGAGGCAGCAGUGGGAAUAUUGCGCAAUGGGCGAAAGCCUGACGCAGCGACGCCGCGUGGGGGAUGAAGGCCUUCGGGUUGUAAACCCCUUUCAGCAGGGACGAAGCGAGAGUGACGGUACCUGGGGAAGAAGGCGCCGGCUAACUACGCGCCAGCAGCCGC